UCAUAAAGCAAAUGGUGCCGACAAACUAACUGGCCGGAGCCAAAAUGGCAGAGUGGCCAAAUAACCAAAUAGCCCGGCCGACAGCCCACUGACAUUUACAUUCGCCCCAAAAAGACAACGCCAGGGCAAAUGAACAACCGAUACCGAUGGCCAAACAACCAAACAACCGAGCCAGAGGAGUCGAACAACCGACGACAACGAGAACGUUCCGCUUUUUUGCGUUGGUUCCGGGAAACGCAACAAAAUUUCACAACGCACCAAAAAUGUUUCCCUUCUUCUCGACUUGGCCAUCAUCAUUGGCCCCAUCAUCAUCGUGCCCCCGCUCCAUCGCCAAAGCCGCAUGAACACAACAACACCUUGACCAAAAGCAAUAGCCAACUUCAAAGAAUCUUCCAACGGCCACGCCUCGAACACUAGACAACAACAUUGUUGGUUGGUGUUGUUGGUGCACCGAAAG
Drosophila melanogaster (fruit fly) is the source of this 457-nucleotide non-coding RNA. NCBI's taxonomy places the organism in Eukaryota, Metazoa, Arthropoda, Insecta, Diptera, Drosophilidae. The record is from Ensembl.